Long non-coding RNA from Mya arenaria, 2093 nucleotides. RefSeq lists it as uncharacterized. The transcript has 4 exons. The record is from RefSeq and is a predicted model, not a curated record. NCBI's taxonomy places the organism in Eukaryota, Metazoa, Mollusca, Bivalvia, Myida, Myidae.
UUCUUAGGUUAUACACCGAUUAACACUAUCCAUGGAAAACAAGCCCAGACCUUCUAAAAAUAGAGAAUAUAAUAUCGGGGACAUAAUUUCCUCUUACUUUAAGCCUAUUGGACAUUCAAAGAAGUCAAAAAUGUGCUUAAAAACAAAUAUGACCUACGUUGUAAAGGCAACCAAUUUAUAUAACAAAAGCAACCUAUUUAUCAAUUAUUUACCAGUAUUAAUAAAUAAUCAAUUUUGUAAGUAAAACAAAUGUCAGGGCCAACAACACUCGGAGUUCUAAUCUUGGGAGAUAAAUGCCAUUAUAUUUUUCAAUGUUGAUUACACUAAAUACAUUCAUAUUUUCUUCCAACGUCUGCAUAUUCUGAGCUUCUAUCAAUUACAGUUUUUAGACUGUCGGCUGCAAGCCGACAGUCUUUAGAGAGCGGUAUUUCAGAAACGCGACUAGUCGCCUGACACGACAUAUUGAACAUGAAUAUAUUAAUACACACCACCUGCGUAGCAACAGAACUACUUACGUGAAUGUGGGGCGUCAAGUACCUGCUUAUGUGUAUUUAACGCGUUAUUGCCUUUUUUAUGACAAACAUUGCGUGUUACUCUUAGUAUAGUUGUACCGUUGCAAUUUGGUGAGUUUUAUUGAACAAAAUAAUGAAAAAUAAUGAAAGUAUAGCAUUUACAUACGAAGUCAUUUUACCCUACAUCCAAUAGUAAGCUACACCACAUGUUUGCACCCCGUGUGACGUCACACAUAUCCCGGCAUUCAAGACUGACCCGGCAAACCCCGGCAAAGAACUUAUUUUAUGAAUGAAAGCUAUUAAGAAAUAAAUCAUACGCGGUUAAAGAGUUCAUGUCAUGUAAAAUUUUGUGAAAUAGCUUUUAUGUUUGAAAUGAUUUUUUUUCAGCAGCAAUCGAACUAUUGUAUUUGUUUGAGUAAAUUAUUUGGAUUAUACCUAUCACCAUGGACCUAUAAACCAUGCUUUAUAGGUCCGUGCUAUCACAGUGUGUCAACGUUAUGCCUAUUGUUAUUUUGGACUAUAGGGUGUAGUUUUUAAAGUCAUACACAAUAUGGCGGCGAUUAUGCGGAAAUGAAAUUGAAUGUUACUUCGAACACGUUCUUCUACAAAAUAACCGACCUGUAUUUAGUGCUAUUGCUUUAACAUCAAUCGAAGCAAAAAUGGCAUCAAUAUAUGCGUCUAAAAAUGUUAAAUUUAGAUGGAGACAAUCCAGAAAUGAGCUGCCAGGGAGUGAUCGAUUUCGGACACGAAGAUUGAGAAGUGCCUGGAUACAAGGCUAGUAUUGUUAACAUCAUCUGAUAAAAUCAACUGGAACAAAGCUGAAAUGGCUGCCUGACCUGACUUAAAAAUUAUAUGGCAGUACAUCAGACUAGAAGAUUACAAGUAUUGAGGUGGACAAAAUGAAACCUGAGCCUACCAAAGCUGACAUAUUGCACAAGAAACACAUAAAUGCAGAUUGGAAGAUUCAUUCUCUGGAGAGUAGAAAAGGGCAUGUUACAUACUGUUAUCACUGCCAUGACAGAAACCAUAUUGAGGAGCUGGUCCACCUGUAGGAAGAAUUGUGCUAUUGGUUGGAGCAGCACUAUUACCCAGCCAUACACCAGCACUUAGUUUGUCAUAGGGAGCAUUUCUGAGCAGUUAUGGAGACCACUAACUAUGCAGUUGUUGCAGUGAAACUUGCACCAGUGUGUUUUCUGUGGAGAUAAAGAGAUAGUGUCCAGCAAUGAAGACCCAACUCAAGAUCUGACCUUGUAAGGCCAAUAUGAAAUAACUGUGUGGGAAAAUGGGAAAAACCUGCAGUCAGGAAUGCACGGAAAUCAUCAAAAGAACAGUGUUAAAUUAAUCGUGAAUAACUUGACAUUUAUUUUGUUUGACAUAUUUAUUCAUGGUGUAGUGAAAACAUUCUUUUUUUCUCAUGGUUAUUUAAAUUUAGAAUUGAUAGGAGGGAACAUCACUAUGUAGUUUCAUGUUCAUAGUCAGAUCAAAACCCAUGUACUUGCCCAAAUGAGCAUUCGAAAAUAUCAAAAUGGUACUUGUUGUAUGUAGUGUAAGUUAAUUAACAUAAUAAACAAAAAUAUUUAA